UACGUAGGGGGCAAGCGUUGUCCGGAGUUACUGGGCGUAAAGCGCACGCAGGCGGUCGCCUAAGUUUGGAGUGACAGUUCCCGGCUCAACUGGGAAAGUGCUUCGAAAACUGGACGACUUGAGGGCUUCAGAGGGACACGGAAUUCCGGGUGGAGUGGUGAAAUGCGUAGAUAUCAAGAGGAACACCUGCGGCGAAGGCGGGUUGCUGGGCUGACACUGACGCUGAAGCGCGAAAGCCAGGGGAGCGAACGGG
Molecule: ribosomal RNA, 253 nt
Filed under: uncultured prokaryote
Description: partial 16S ribosomal RNA
Rfam family: Bacterial small subunit ribosomal RNA
Source: RNAcentral